GAUGAACGCUAGCGGCAGGCCUCAUACAUGCAAGUCGAGGGGCAGCGGGACACUCCGGUGUUGCCGGCGACCGGCGGACGGGUGCGUAAUGCGCAUGCAAUCUACUUUACACUGGGGAAUAGCCUCCGGAAACGGGAAUUAAUACCCCAUAUAAUCUUAUUAGCGCAUGUUAAAAAGAUGAAAGCUCCGGCGGUGUAAAAUGAGCGUGCGUCCUAUUAGCUAGUUGGUGAGGUAAUGGCUCACCAAGGCUACGAUGGGUAGGGGUUCUUAGUGGAAGGUCCCCCACACUGGCACUGAGAUACGGGCCAGACUCCUACGGGAGGCAGCAGUAGGGAAUAUUGGUCAAUGGGCGCAAGCCUGAACCAGCCAUGCCGCGUGCAGGAUGAAGGCUCUCUGAGUUGUAAACUGCUUUUGUACAGGAGCAAAAAAGUCCCUGCGGGGAUUCUUGAGCGUACUGUUAAGAAUAAGCACCGGCUAAUUCCGUGCCAGCAGCCGCGGUAAUACGGGAGGUGCAAGCGUUAUCCGGUUUUAUUGGGUUUAAAGGGUGCGUAGGCGGCUUAUUAAGUCAGUUGUGAAAUCCUAGUGCUUAACGCUAGAACUGCGAUUGAUACUAUUAGGCUUGAGUUAAGAAGAGGUAAGCAGAAUUUAUGGUGUAGUAGUGAAAUGCUUAGAUAUCAUAAGGAAUACCAAUAGCGUAGGCAGCUUACUGGUCUUUAACUGACGCUGAGGCACGAAAGCGUGGGGAGCAAACAGGAUUAGAUACCCUGGUAGUCCACACCGUAAACGAUGAUCACUCGAUAUACAUGAUACAUCAUGUGUGUCUAAGCGAAAGCGUUAAGUGAUCCACCUGGGGAGUAUACUCGCAAGGGUGAAACUCAAAGGAAUUGACGGGGGUCCGCACAAGCGGUGGAGUAUGUGGUUUAAUUCGAUAAUACGCGAGGAACCUUACCUGGGCUAGAAUGUGUUUUGCUACCUUGAGAAAUUGAGGGUUCCUUCGGGACGGAAUACAAGGUGCUGCAUGGCUGUCGUCAGCUCGUGCCGUGAGGUGUUGGGUUAAGUCCUAUAACGAGCGAAACCCUUUACUUAAUUGCCAGCACGUAAUGGUGGGGACUUUAAGUAGACUGCCCGUGUAAGCGGGAGGAAGGAGAGGACGAGGUCAAGUCAUCAUGGCCUUUAUGCCCAGGGCUACACACGUACUACAAUGGCAUGUACAAAGGGAAGCUACUUGGCAACAAGAUGCAAAUCUCAAAAGCAUGUCUCAGUUCGGAUUGAGGUCUGCAAUUCGACCUCAUGAAGUUGGAAUCGCUAGUAAUCGCGUAUCAGCAAUGACGCGGUGAAUACGUUCUCGGACCUUGUACACACCGCCCAUCAAGCCAUGGGAGUUGGUAGAGCUUGAAGACAGUGGCCGUAAAAGGAGCUGUUUAGUGUUAGACCAGCGACUGGGGC
RNAcentral lists this ribosomal RNA (1446 nucleotides) under uncultured bacterium. RNAcentral describes it as "16S ribosomal RNA". It matches the Rfam family "Bacterial small subunit ribosomal RNA". The record is from RNAcentral.